AAGAGUUUGGUGCCUUCGGGUACUAUCUCCAACCAAUUGUGAACCAAAUUUGUUGCCUCGACAUCAGGUGGGUACCCGCAAGGUGUACCCAUCCUUCGGUUGCUUGCACCUGAAGAGUGAUGUCUGAGGAUUUUAAAACUUUUUUUAAUCAGUAUCUGAGUUAAACAAAAUAAAAACA
Molecule: unclassified non-coding RNA, 178 nt
Filed under: uncultured fungus
Lineage: Eukaryota; Fungi
Description: sequence contains ITS1, 5.8S rRNA gene
Source: RNAcentral